AAAAAGACAAAUCCUGGUUUUCAUGCCCAACGUUUGACCGUCCGUCUUAUUUAAAAAAAAUAUGAAAAAAAUUAAAAAGACAAGUCACACAUAAAGUAUUAAUAAUAUUUUUUUAUUUAAAAGAAUUAUAAAAAAAAUUUCAUACAAGACGGACAGUCAAAGUUGGACACAAAAAUAUAGGGUUUGUUUUUUU
Molecule: non-coding RNA, 193 nt
Organism: Oryza glaberrima (African rice)
Lineage: Eukaryota; Viridiplantae; Streptophyta; Magnoliopsida; Poales; Poaceae
Source: Rfam